RNAcentral lists this ribosomal RNA (303 nucleotides) under Triticum aestivum (bread wheat). Its description in RNAcentral is "partial small subunit ribosomal RNA". The record is from RNAcentral. Lineage: Eukaryota; Viridiplantae; Streptophyta; Magnoliopsida; Poales; Poaceae.
AUGCCCAGAGUAACGGCCGACCAUGACUCAAGCCGCACCAUCGGGACUCCUCGAGCAACAAGACGGUGCCUUCAAGAACGGAAUGACGCUAUGACGCCGCCACCGCCUUGUAGUCCAGAGGCCGGACCAAAGGUUUCCACUGAGCUCGAGGAAGGGAGUCAGAUCAGGGCCAAAACAACGCUUCCAGAGAGGGAACGACGCCCACGGGCGUCACAUUUGUCAGCCUCUUCGCGACAUGGAUCGUGGAACCCAGCGCCCACCGGAGUCGCUCGAGCAGGUCAACCACCGCAACAGGAAGAGUAG